This is a non-coding RNA of Myodes glareolus (Bank vole), 516 nucleotides long. The record is from the annotation of a RefSeq genome assembly. Lineage: Eukaryota; Metazoa; Chordata; Mammalia; Rodentia; Cricetidae.
UAUGCAAAUAAUUUUCUCUUCUGCUCAUUAAAACUAGCCAUGACUCUACAGUUUGACACAGGCACCCAGGUCUGCACUCAAAAAUCCUCCCAUUUUGUGGUCAGCCCUGAACACAUAACAUCUAAGAUGUACUUGAGGCUGAGCUGGAUUUUUCUUUUUGCUCUUUUUGAAGGUGUCCAGUGUGAUGUGCAGCUAGUGGAAACUGGGGGAGGCUUGGUACAGCCUGGAGGGUCCCUAAAACUCUCCUGUGCAGCCUCUGGAUUCACAUUCAGUGACUACUGGAUGCACUGGGUCCGCCAGGCACCAGGAAAGGGCCUAGAGUGGGUUGGUAUGAUUACAGACAAACUUGAUAACUAUGAAACACACUAUGCAGAAUCUGUGAAAGGCAGAUUCACCAUCUCAAGAGAUGAUUCAAAAAGCAUCCUGUACCUGCAAAUGAACAGCUUAAGAGUUGAAGACACUGCCAUUUAUUACUGUACUGACAGCACAGUGAGAGGAUUCCAGUGUGAACCCUGA